UUAGGAAUCUUGCGCAAUGGGCGAAAGCCUGACGCAGCGAUGCCGCGUGCGGGAUGAAGGCCCUCGGGUCGUAAACCGCUUUCAGCAGGGACGAUAGUGACGGUACCUGCAGAAGAAGCCCCGGCCAACUACGUGCCAGCAGCCGCGGUAAUACGUAGGGGGCGAGCGUUGUCCGGAUUUAUUGGGCGUAAAGAGCUCGUAGGCGGUUUGGUAAGUCGGGUGUGAAAUCUCCACGCUCAACGUGGAGGGGCCACUCGAUACUGCCAUGACUCGAGUCCGGUAGAGGAGUGUGGAAUUCCCGGUGUAGCGGUGAAAUGCGCAGAUAUCGGGAGGAACACCCGUAGCGAAGGCGGCACUCUGGGCCGGAACUGACGCUGAGGAGCGAAAGCGUGGGGAGCAAAACAGGAUUAAGAUACCC
RNAcentral lists this ribosomal RNA (418 nucleotides) under uncultured bacterium. RNAcentral's name for it is "bacterial SSU rRNA". It matches the Rfam family "Bacterial small subunit ribosomal RNA", at positions 355 to 787 of the family's 1533-position model. The record is from RNAcentral.